This 497-nucleotide ribosomal RNA is filed under the name uncultured bacterium. Its description in RNAcentral is "partial 16S ribosomal RNA". It matches the Rfam family "Bacterial small subunit ribosomal RNA", at positions 28 to 507 of the family's 1533-position model. The record is from RNAcentral.
GAUGGACGCUGGCGGCGUGCCUAAUACAUGCAAGUCGAGCGAACGGACGAGAAGCUUGCUUCUCUGAUGUUAGCGGCGGACGGGUGAGUAACACGUGGAUAACCUACCUAUAAGACUGGGAUAACUUCGGGAAACCGGAGCUAAUACCGGAUGAUAUUUUGAACCGCAUGGUUCAAAAGUGAAAGACGGUCUUGCUGUCACUUAUAGAUGGAUCCGCGCUGCAUUAGCUAGUUGGUAAGGUAACGGCUUACCAAGGCAACGAUGCAUAGCCGACCUGAGAGGGUGAUCGGCCACACUGGAACUGAGACACGGUCCAGACUCCUACGGGAGGCAGCAGUAGGGAAUCUUCCGCAAUGGGCGAAAGCCUGACGGAGCAACGCCGAGUGAGUGAUGAAGGUCUUCGGAUCGUAAAACUCUGUUAUUAGGGAAGAACAUAUGUGUAAGUAACUGUGCACAUCUUGACGGUACCUAAUCAGAAAGCCACGGCUAACUACGUG